GCAAUAUUUCUUGGCACUGUCUCUAACUUUGAACUUGUUUCUUACUCCUGUUCUUUUGAUUCUGAUUUCGUUUAGAAAAUAGAUCGAAAUGAAAACUUUUGGGCAAUUUAAAAACCCGAAUUUUCUAAUAUAACUGAACACGCUAGAAUGAUGAAAACGAAAACGUGCGAAAGCCAUUACAAGUCCUUUUUUUUUAAGGCAGUUCAUUUUGAAGGGCGAAUCUUCUCUAAUUACUCGCUAAUGAAAAUAAAAGCAGUCCAUUGCGGGAUAAAUCGCGAUAGCAAGACCCUUUCUACCAGCGAAAACAAGGUUAACUCUGCGGGGCCCCUCUUUUGUGUGACACCCGGAAAAAUUGCCCCUUUGGCCUUCUGGGCGUUCUGAAUAUUUACCAAGACUUUUAAUAUUCUCCACCUGUAACAAAUGUAAACAUUCUGGUAAUUGCGAAUGAAAUUUCCACAUCAACUUUUUCGUCAUUUAAACUGGGAUUUACCAAAAAAAAUAAAAACUCGGAGCGAGUAACUGUUAGUAAUUGGGGUUUCAAACUUCAACCUUCCUCCCUCCGCCAAUUAGCCCGAUCCUGUGGCACUCCAACCGGACUCUUGUUAGAUCCCAGAGCACUUGGCCGUGUAAAGGGAUUUAGCAAAAAGGAUUCCAAAGUAUGUUUGUUCUGCAGCAGGCACAUUUUUCAAGAGUUUAAUCGGAAUAGCCAUGCCAAGUGCUGCUGCUGCUGCUGCUGCAGCUCGUUGCUACACAGUGACAAAUAGCGUCAAUAGCGAUUGCUCGACCCCUACCGCACUCAGGGUGUGGACUGUCAGGCAGUUCAGAAUAUCCCACCCGUCGAAAUAAGGGGGAACACCCUGACGCCUUAACUGUCGCACAUCCGACGCAAAAUACCAGACAUUAUGCAAUCUGUUUGCGUCAGGAGUUUGCAUUCUAAACUUCCCACGCCGAUAAUAUCCGAUAACCGUGCCUUUUGGACGUUAUUUAUGCACUUGACUGCAAAGAAAAAGUACCUUUUCGAACUCGAGAAAGAGUUCGAAGAGCAGUAGAUAUGUAGAAAUUACAGAUAUGAAGCGAAGCAGUAGACGGAGAGGCUGAUAUGGCUGGAAGGGAAACGGCACAAAACAGGUCUGUGUUGUGAUUAAAUGGCCAGUAACUUUUAUUGCAUGUAAGCACGCAAAAGUUGCCAGAAUGCAGCGCUGCUGAUGGAAAGAGGCCCUGACUAUUGUAAUGACGUCGAAACGCUAUUAUAGUGGAAACGCUUGUCUAGUUUUUACUUGUCGGUAAUUAUAAAAAAUUGAAUCAUUGACAAGCAAAGGUUUACUUUAUCGAUAAACAAGCUCGACUGCACCUAAUUAUUACAUCAAAAGAGGAGAAGGCAAAGAGAAAGAUCUCAAUAACUGCACCCCUUACCGAAUUUCUGUUAAGAGAGUCGUAGGAGAACCAUCCCCCAAUUAAAUUUUCUUUCUAAGUACAUUUUACACCCCAGCGAUUUUCAAUCGGCCGGGUAAAACAGGAUAGAAGGUCAAACUGUGGGAAACUAGCAGACUGCAGUACCUUUUUUUUUUUUUUCAUAAACUACUCAUCUUCUGGUUGUGAUGAAGCCAUCAGGUUAUUUGCGACCUUCUCAAUUCAGACAAAGACUUCUCCUUCUGGGGAGCUAAGUCAGUCGGGGUUAAGGAUAAUAAAUCGCAACACGUUCCUGAAGGAGAUGGAGUUGCACUCGUUAACACUCCUCACCUGAUAAGUCAGAAGGGAUGGUUGUUCUACUUGUCCGGAUAGUUGUGGUCAAUGCUAAUAAUCUUAUUUAUGGCUUUUAUAACACUUAAUUGAAUGGGACGCUAACAAAUUAUUUAUCUUACUUCAUUAAAAUGAUUUAGACACGUCUGUUCUACUUUAUAAAAUUAAUGACCCUCCAAACUACGGAGGACACAAAAUCGACUUGGAGACGGGUCCGGUUUCGCUUUUUUCGAUAAUAUACAAGACCUAAGUAAAGAGCAAUUUUUUAUACUCGGUUUAAAUUGGCCUAGACCAACUCCUCGACUUAGAACCAAAGGCGGUACGUCACUGGGAUAAUUCCAUUCCGACUCUCACCUCUCAUGAUAUUGACCACGUGUGAGAUUUAGGAGUGCAGAGUGACAAAUAUAUGGUCUUCUGAGACCGGUCACUUCACAAACCGCAAUUAGUCUAAGACUACAGAUGUUGAUGAUGUAUGAGUUGCCACGGGGGACAACUAACAUCACACCUAUAAAUUAGCUGUUCUAUAUAAACACAAGUAACGAAGAACAACACCGAAAAAAAAAUAUGAUCACUUUUAAUCAACUAAUCACGAAUUUCGACCCCCCCCGUAAAGUCUACCGAAAGCAUUGGUUACGACUGUUCCUCCCGCUUGGGUAGUCAAGAUUAAAACACCUAUUAGGAGGUCCUCUCCACUAAACAAUUUAAAAGAUUCAAUAUAGACCAUUGAAAGAAUCUCCUUUCUCUGUUGUACACGCUGCUUACCUACCUUUAAAGGUGCUCGAAAAGCCGAUACCUGACAUUAUUAGAAACCAGGUACAAACUCGAAAUCUGUUUUUAAAGUUACGCACUGUACCGUAUAAAAAAUGGCACGAAUACAAGUAUGUAAUCUAUACAGAAUAUUUGUUAUUUUCUAUACACGAAGGAGAGAGAGAGAUAUCAAUAACUCGGCAAACUAGCUGCCAGAGUGGGAUUUAUUAGGACUCUAAUUAAUUUUUUGAGUUUAUGAGUCAUCGGGGAUUCCUGACAAGUCUAUAAAUAAUUAAUAUCAUAAAUAAUGGAUAUGUAUUUACGAACUUUGCUUCUGUUUGCCUCAAGUUACAAGUCUACAGAAUUGGAAAAAUAUUAAUCCGGGGGUUAAAAGGCAACAACAACCGACUUCUCGCCAUUUUCGAACAAUCGCAUUUGUAGUGCACCAAUGUCGAACAGAAUGCAGAAAAAAAAAAAAUCUUUUGGAGAUAUACAGUACGUUAUUUGGAAAACUAUACAAACCGUUCGAUAUAUUAAGAGAAGUUAAUGCAGAAAUAAUCUUGACUAGUAAAGAUAUAAGUCCAGAAAACAGCAAUUGAGAAAAUUGUUUUUUAAUACAUUAAUGUUAUACAACAUAUUCAGAAGCUAUAAAAAUGGGUGUCUGACCUAGAAAAAACGUAGCAACGAGUAAAUCCUUU
Molecule: long non-coding RNA, 3185 nt
Filed under: Androctonus crassicauda
Lineage: Eukaryota; Metazoa; Arthropoda; Arachnida; Scorpiones; Buthidae
Source: RNAcentral